RNAcentral lists this ribosomal RNA (842 nucleotides) under Escherichia coli. RNAcentral's name for it is "partial 23S ribosomal RNA". It matches the Rfam family "Bacterial large subunit ribosomal RNA", at positions 345 to 1191 of the family's 2925-position model. Lineage: Bacteria; Pseudomonadati; Pseudomonadota; Gammaproteobacteria; Enterobacterales; Enterobacteriaceae. The record is from RNAcentral.
GAAAGGCGUGCGAUACAGGGUGACAGCCCCGUACACAAAAAUGCACAUAUUGUGAGCUCGAUGAGUAGGGCGGGACACGUGGUAUCCUGUCUGAAUAUGGGGGGACCAUCCUCCAAGGCUAAAUACUCCUGACUGACCGAUAGUGAACCAGUACCGUGAGGGAAAGGCGAAAAGAACCCCGGCGAGGGGAGUGAAAAAGAACCUGAAACCGUGUACGUACAAGCAGUGGGAGCACGCUUAGGCGUGUGACUGCGUACCUUUUGUAUAAUGGGUCAGCGACUUAUAUUCUGUAGCAAGGUUAACCGAAUAGGGGAGCCGAAGGGAAACCGAGUCUUAACUGGGCGUUAAGUUGCAGGGUAUAGACCCGAAACCCGGUGAUCUAGCCAUGGGCAGGUUGAAGGUUGGGUAACACUAACUGGAGGACCGAACCGACUAAUGUUGAAAAAUUAGCGGAUGACUUGUGGCUGGGGGUGAAAGGCCAAUCAAACCGGGAGAUAGCUGGUUCUCCCCGAAAGCUAUUUAGGUAGCGCCUCGUGAAUUCAUCUCCGGGGGUAGAGCACUGUUUCGGCAAGGGGGUCAUCCCGACUUACCAACCCGAUGCAAACUGCGAAUACCGGAGAAUGUUAUCACGGGAGACACACGGCGGGUGCUAACGUCCGUCGUGAAGAGGGAAACAACCCAGACCGCCAGCUAAGGUCCCAAAGUCAUGGUUAAGUGGGAAACGAUGUGGGAAGGCCCAGACAGCCAGGAUGUUGGCUUAGAAGCAGCCAUCAUUUAAAGAAAGCGUAAUAGCUCACUGGUCGAGUCGGCCUGCGCGGAAGAUGUAACGGGGCUAAACCAUG